RNAcentral lists this ribosomal RNA (214 nucleotides) under uncultured prokaryote. RNAcentral describes it as "partial 16S ribosomal RNA". It matches the Rfam family "Bacterial small subunit ribosomal RNA", at positions 524 to 737 of the family's 1533-position model. The record is from RNAcentral.
UACGUAGGGGGCAAGCGUUGUCCGGAAUCAUUGGGCGUAAAGCGCGCGUAGGCGGCUCGAUCAGUCUGCUGUGAAAGUCAAAGGCUCAACCUUUGAAUGCCGGUGGAUACUGUCGAGCUAGAGUCCGGAAGAGGCGAGUGGAAUUCCUGGUGUAGCGGUGGAAUGCGCAGAUAUCAGGAGGAACACCAACGGCGAAGGCAGCUCGCUGGGACGG